GUGCAACUUUUCAAAAUCGCCUAAAUUGUGGAUUAAUUUCUCGCUGAAACGCAGUCUUGACGGCCUUGAGGUGGAUUAAAAUAAUGUUUGAUAAUAUUUGAAAGAAAACUUACGGACUCUAUUACUUUCGUAGGAUACACGUCAAUGUAACCUUCAAUCAGUUAAUUUUUUAUAAAGCCUACCAAAUUGCAAAAUAUUCUUCCAAUAUUUCAAAUUUGCUCAUUGCUUUCAGGAAUUAGCUGAUAUAGAGUAUGGUAUAUCUUUCCGGCAUGCUAUCGAGUGGUGAACAACGCGAUCAUCCAUCGUCAAUUUUUAUACUUAUGUCACUAUUUUUUCAGAGGAGUAAAUCAUAUCGGAUGGGACGCAAUAGUGUGAUGGCUACUUAUGAGUUACUAAUUCUGAGAACGACACGGCAUUAUAGACUUAUCAUAGAGAGCCUCUUCUUAACCAAGAAACCUCGAAUAAAAUGGCCAUUGAUGCUUUUAAUCCUUACCCACCAUGUCCUACAAAUAACUGGGGCUAUUUUAUUUAUGAUGGGAUCAAAGGCGAGCGCUCAUUCCAUGAUGGCACCUGCCACCCUGGCGCGGAAAAUGCACGGUCUGAUAGCACCUUUGAGUUACAUAUUAAAUGUUCUUUGGUGGCGUCAGAUGGACUAUUUGGAGGAAACCCUCCAAGAGGUCAACGAAAUUUUGCUUCGCGCCAAGGUAUGACUUUAUAUCUUUCCCCCUCUUGUUACAUUAGACAGACAUGCAAGAUAUGUGUUAUUAAUUUCCAUGUAAACUGUACAUCCAAUUUUGUUCUCUUACAUUAUUUUGAUUACAUAAUAAUUAAUAAUAAAUUAGGACCAAAAAUUAGGUUUUUUAGAAUUAGACACACACCGUAGGACAAACAGGUAGGCAGAGUUCUAGCCGUAGUGGUGGGUGAGAGCACGGCGAAAUCAAAUGAUGGUGCUCCAGGUUGGGGGUUGGGUCAUCGGGCUGACUUCUGCAGAUAAUCAUGAGAAGUUCUACGUUAAAAACCCCAAAUCCAUUACGAGAAUCGACAAUAGUUACGAAAUCGGAACCUUUUAUAUGAAACUAAGAAUGUUCGGGGCACUUACAAGAAAUUUACGUAAAUUGUAUUCUAGAUAAAAUAAGUCGCGAUGACGAUUCGGCCAUUUUGACAGAGAGCAUUAGAUAAACUCCAAAAUUUCGCGCCGGUACUCCCGUAGUGUUAAAUAAAAGGUGUUAUUAGUGGUUAGUUUUUUUUUUUUUUUUUUUUUUUUUUUUUUUUUUUUUUUCUUCUAGCAAUACAAGGCGUGAAUUUUCAUUUUAAUCCGACAAUCUUGAGAACUAGGCAUGGCAGACUUAAUGAUUACAGGAUGCCACACCUCUUUGUCCGAUACUGGAAUUAGCCCAUAAUUCAUUAGGCUAAUUUGAUGUGUAUAUUUUUUUGUUCGAGCAAAUGUCUCAAUUUUCUGGCCCAAAAACUGAAUCUGGUCCAUCGGACGAGUUGCAACCGAAUAUAGUAGACGAAAUUUCAUCGUACGAAAAUUGAGGAUAAAACACGUAUUUCAAUACCCGUGCGACGUAAAGACUAAUAUCGUCUAUACACUCCUUUUGCAGUUCCCGCUCCAAGAUUCUUUGCGCGCUGCUAUCACGGUAGAAUUGGAGUCCCGACAUCGGUCAAUCAUCCUCUACAUGAAGUCAGUCUCACAAAUAUUGGUUUUGUUAUACUUUCUUCCUCCUGUAAUCGCACUAUUCUUCAACCCCUCAUCAUCACGAACGCUUCGUCUACCAAUGGAGAUGUCGGACCCACUCUCUCUCCUCGGAGUCACAUCGAAUGACGUCAUCGCAGUACUCAUUUACUUUAGUUAUUUCGUCUCUUACUUGGUCCACAACUAUACCUUAUACACUGGAGCUGCGAUUCUCAUCGUCACUCUUGAUUCUCUGAAGACAGCGUUUCGCGUAUGCGGGCUUUGCUUGGAAACCCUCGGUCAGGGCGAAUCUGCCGAUUGGGAGCAAUUUGUGGACGCUGUUAAGCUUCAUCAACGCUUGUUUAGGUGAGAGUAUAGCCUAUAUAGCCUGUGUAGCAAAAUUGAAGGCUAAUAAACCUCAGAUGAAGGGCAUUUGCCAAUAGGUUUGUUUCGUUGUUCAUCCUGGCUCAAAGAAACGUGUGAUGCAAUGAAGCUGCGUGGAGCUCUAGGUCGUGUUAGGAAUUUGCGAUAAGCACUGAUUCCUACGUAAAAUUUUGCGAGGAACUCGGCUGCUUUUCUCUGAAAUCAGCUCCAAAGCUCAAAAAGCGCUCGAAGUUGAGGUGGUAAUGGAAGAAAUAUCUCACGCUACCUUUUGAGUCCACCACUACACUGAAAAAAAGUUCUGUUUUCACAAACCAGAAUUCUGGUUGUAUUUCGGAACCAGAUUUUCUGGUUGAUUUAACCAGAAUUACAGUUGACUCAACCAGAAUUUGGUAGAGUCAACCAGACGUCUGGUUGAGUCAACUGUAAUUCUGGUUAAAUCAACCAGAAAAUCUGGUUCCGAAAUACAACCAGAAUUCUGGUUUGUGACAACAGAACUUUUUUUCAGUGUACAUCAAAACAAAAUUUCAAUGCAAAGAUAAAGAGCUAAGGUAUUGACAGCGUUGUCACUUUGUGUAGAGACUCCAAAACUGAAAACUCGGCUUCCUUGCUCAUGUAUUUGUUCCUCGUAUUUGCAUAGAGAGUUUGUUUUGAUAUAGAGGUGGAUUCCAGAGUAGCCUGGGAUAACCUCUCCAAUUCUCCAUUAUGGACUCAUUUUUGAAAGCUUUUUUGAGCUUCGGAGUUGAUUCCGGAGAAAACCAGUGGCACCAUCGUGUUUCUCGCGGAAUUUUUCAUAGGAAUCAGUGCUUGGAUCUCAAAUUCCUGACGCAAGCAAGAGUUCCAUCAUGCGUCGUUCGGAAUACAUAACUCUCCGUGCUCUCCGGUAUACUUUUGUUGCCUAACAGCAAAAUUGAAGGCGAACCUUGGAUGGACGAUGAUUAAAGUUCUCAUCGUCAUUUAUCGGUUCAAUUAAAACUCAAGAAAGGAUCAAUUUGCGUGUAGAAAUCCACUCGCACUUAAUAUUUGUCACCUAUGCGGCAAAAUUCGUCGCUUGGCUGACAUGAAGGCGUAACUACACAUUGAGAUGAGCUCGGAAAAGCAUUGAAAUGUAUGGAUGACAGGGUUCAUUGAAGAAUGUGG
This 3196-nucleotide long non-coding RNA is filed under the name Bemisia tabaci. Its description in RNAcentral is "lncRNA ENSSSA1NGG012652". Lineage: Eukaryota; Metazoa; Arthropoda; Insecta; Hemiptera; Aleyrodidae. The record is from RNAcentral.